Pantherophis guttatus is the source of this 409-nucleotide non-coding RNA. NCBI's taxonomy places the organism in Eukaryota, Metazoa, Chordata, Lepidosauria, Squamata, Colubridae. The record is from RefSeq and is a predicted model, not a curated record.
CAGACCUCUGCCUGAGUUUUACUCCUUGAACCUGAUAAAAUUCCACUCUCAGGCCUGCUUAUUGUUUGUAAAUUUGAAGAAGCCAUAGAAUGCAACACUGCAAAUUUUCAUCAAUAUCCAUGCGUAUCUUGUAUUUCACAUGAGGUGGUAUUUGAUUGGCCCUUGCAUCCACGUCAAGAAAGACAACAGCAGCCCAGAAUUUAUUUUCCUCCAGAAGAGAGUGAGCAUGAAGAAUCAACUCAGUUUCAUCAGCUAGGCCUUCAAACUUAUCAAGGGUCAAGCACUGUGAUAACAGAGGCAUAAAAGAUACGUGAAUGAGAUAACAGUAGCAUUGUACAUAUGCACAGAAUUUUGUUGAUUCUACUUGGAUAACUUCCUGAAUUAAUAUAUAAACUGGAAUACAAUCAUC